RNAcentral lists this ribosomal RNA (511 nucleotides) under Phora tincta. RNAcentral's name for it is "partial 16S ribosomal RNA". It matches the Rfam family "Bacterial large subunit ribosomal RNA", at positions 1819 to 2601 of the family's 2925-position model. The record is from RNAcentral. Lineage: Eukaryota; Metazoa; Arthropoda; Insecta; Diptera; Phoridae.
GUCUUUUUGUAUUUAAUAUAAAGUCUGACCUGCCCACUGAAAAUUUAAAUGGCCGCAGUAUUUUAACUGUGCAAAGGUAGCAUAAUCAUUAGUCUUUUAAUUGAAGGCUGGUAUGAAUGGUUGAAUGAGAUAUUAACUGUUUCAAUAUAAUUUUUAGAAUUUUAUAUUUUAGUGAAAAAGCUAAAAUAAUUUUAAAAGACGAGAAGACCCUAUAAAUCUUUAUAGUUUUAAAUUUAUGGACAUAUAGAUAAUUAAGUUUUUAAGUUAAUAGAUUAUUUUAUUGGGGUGAUAUUAAAAUUUUAUGAACUUUUAAUGUAUAAUUAACACUAAUUAGUGAAAUUUUGAUCCGUGAUUAAUGAUUAAAAAAUUAAGUUACUUUAGGGAUAACAGCGUAAUUUUUUUGGAGAGUUCUUAUUAAUAAAAAAGAUUGCGACCUCGAUGUUGGAUUAAGAUAUAGAUUUAGGUGUAGUGGCUUAAAUUUAAAGUCUGUUCGACUUAUUAUUUCUUACAU